UAGGGAAUUUUGCGCAAUGGGGGCAACCCUGACGCAGCGACGCCGCGUGAGUGAUGAAGGCCUUCGGGUUGUAAAGCUCUGUCUAGCGGGACGAAUGAUUUGUGGUCUAACAGGCCACAAAGGUGACGGUACCGCUGGAGGAAGCACCGGCUAACUCUGUGCCAGCAGCCGCGGUAAUACAGAGGGUGCAAGCGUUAUUCGGAAUUACUGGGCGUAAAGCGUAUGUAGGCUGGUUAAUAAGUCAGUUGUGAAAUCCCGGGGCUUAACUCCGGAAUUGCAAUUGAAACUAUUAAUCUUGAGUACGGGAGAGGGUCGUGGAAUUCCUGGUGUAGAGGUGAAAUUCGUAGAUAUCAGGAGGAACACCUGAGGCGAAGGCGGCGACCUGGUCCGGAACUGACGCUGAGAUACGAGAGCGUGGGGAGCAAACAGG
This 430-nucleotide ribosomal RNA is filed under the name uncultured bacterium. Its description in RNAcentral is "bacterial SSU rRNA". It matches the Rfam family "Bacterial small subunit ribosomal RNA", at positions 355 to 776 of the family's 1533-position model. The record is from RNAcentral.